UUGAAGGUUUUGGGCUGCGUGUCAGGAGUGCAUUUGCACUGAAACUAUCUGAAGCAUGUAAAUGCACUAUCUGGUACGACAUUCCAGAACGUACAAUC
This 98-nucleotide microRNA precursor is filed under the name Drosophila erecta. RNAcentral's name for it is "microRNA der-mir-277 precursor". Its record names the gene der-mir-277. It matches the Rfam family "mir-277 microRNA precursor family". The record is from miRBase by way of RNAcentral. Lineage: Eukaryota; Metazoa; Arthropoda; Insecta; Diptera; Drosophilidae. RNAcentral also lists the same sequence under 2 other names.